RNAcentral lists this ribosomal RNA (433 nucleotides) under uncultured bacterium. Its description in RNAcentral is "partial 16S ribosomal RNA". It matches the Rfam family "Bacterial small subunit ribosomal RNA", at positions 29 to 507 of the family's 1533-position model. The record is from RNAcentral.
AGCGAACGCUGGCGGCAGGCCUAACACAUGCAAGUCGAACGAACUCUUCGGAGUUAGUGGCGGACGGGUGAGUAACACGUGGGAACGUGCCUUUUGGUUCGGAAUAACUCAGGGGAACUUGUGCUAAUACCGACUGUGCUCUUCGGGGGAAAGAUUUAUCGCCAUUAGAGCGGCCCGCGUCUGAUUAGCUAGAUGGUGAGGUAACGGCUCACCAAGGCGACGAUCAGUAGCUGGUCUGAGAGGAUGACCAGCCACACUGGGACUGAGACACGGCCCAGACUCCUACGGGAGGCAGCAGUGGGGAAUCUUGCGCAAUGGGCGAAAGCCUGACGCAGCCAUGCCGCGUGAAUGAUGAAGGUCUUAGGAUUGUAAAAUUCUUUCACCGGGGACGAUAAUGACGGUACCCGGAGAAGAAGCCCCGGCUAACUUCGUG